GCCACCCUAGCUCAAAUGGUAGAGCACCCGACUUGUAAUCGGAAGGUUGUCGGUUCGAUUCCGAUGGGUGGCUCCA
This 76-nucleotide transfer RNA is filed under the name Truepera sp. RNAcentral's name for it is "tRNA-Thr". It matches the Rfam family "tRNA". Rfam says of the family: Transfer RNA (tRNA) molecules are approximately 80 nucleotides in length. Lineage: Bacteria; Thermotogati; Deinococcota; Deinococci; Trueperales; Trueperaceae. The record is from RNAcentral.